RNAcentral lists this ribosomal RNA (500 nucleotides) under uncultured bacterium. RNAcentral's name for it is "partial 16S ribosomal RNA". It matches the Rfam family "Bacterial small subunit ribosomal RNA", at positions 30 to 523 of the family's 1533-position model. The record is from RNAcentral.
AUUGAACGCUGGCGGCAUGCCUUACACAUGCAAGUCGAACGGCAGCACGGGAGCAAUCCUGGUGGCGAGUGGCGAACGGGUGAGUAAAGUAUCGGAACGUGCCCAGUCGUGGGGGAUAACGUAGCGAAAGUUACGCUAAUACCGCAUACGAUCUAUGGAUGAAAGCGGGGGAUCGCAAGACCUCGCGCGAUUGGAGCGGCCGAUAUCAGAUUAGGUAGUUGGUGGGGUAAAGGCUCCCCAAGCCGACGAUCUGUAGCUGGUCUGAGAGGACGACCAGCAACACUGGGACUGAGACACGGCCCAGACUCCUACGGGAGGGAGCAGUGGGGAAUUUUGGACAAUGGGCGCAAGCCUGAUCCAGCCAUGCCGCGUGCAGGAUGAAGGCUUUCGGGUUGUAAACUGCUUUUGUACGGAACGAAAAGGUUUGACUGAAUACGUUGGACUCAUGACGGUACCGUAAGAAUAAGCACCGGCUAACUACGUGCCAGCCGCCGCGGUAA